This 846-nucleotide ribosomal RNA is filed under the name uncultured bacterium. Its description in RNAcentral is "bacterial SSU rRNA". It matches the Rfam family "Bacterial small subunit ribosomal RNA", at positions 30 to 872 of the family's 1533-position model. The record is from RNAcentral.
UGAACGCUGGCGGUAUGCUUUACACAUGCAAGUCGAACGGGCUUGGGGGCUUGCUCCCAGGUUAGUGGCGAACGGGUGAGUAAUAUAUCGGAACAUAUCCGGAAGUGGGGGAUAACGUAGCGAAAGUUACGCUAAUACCGCAUAUGCCCUGAGGGGGAAAGGGGGGGAUCGCAAGACCUCUCGCUUUCGGAGUGGCCGAUACCGGAUUAGCUAGAUGGUGAGGUAAAGGCUCACCAUGGCGACGAUCCGUAGCGGGUCUGAGAGGACGACCCGCCACACUGGAACUGAGACACGGUCCAGACUCCUACGGGAGGCAGCAGUGGGGAAUUUUGGACAAUGGGCGCAAGCCUGAUCCAGCCAUACCGCGUGAGUGAAGAAGGCCUUCGGGUUGUAAAGCUCUUUCAGCCGGAAAGAAAUUGCUUCUAUUAAUACUAGGAGUAGAUGACGGUACCGGAAGAAGAAGCACCGGCUAACUACGUGCCAGCAGCCGCGGUAAUACGUAGGGUGCGAGCGUUAAUCGGAAUUACUGGGCGUAAAGCGUGCGCAGGCGGUUUGGUAAGACAGAUGUGAAAUCCCCGGGCUUAACCUGGGAACUGCAUUUGUGACUGCCAGACUAGAGUGUAGCAGAGGGGGGUAGAAUUCCACGUGUAGCAGUGAAAUGCGUAGAGAUGUGGAAGAAUACCGAUGGCGAAGGCAGCCCCCUGGGCUAACACUGACGCUCAUGCACGAAAGCGUGGGGAGCAAACAGGAUUAGAUACCCUGGUAGUCCACGCCCUAAACGAUGUCAACUAGGUGUUGGGGAAGGAGACUUCUUUAGUACCGCAGCUAACGCGUGAAGUGACCCGC